AUGGAAGCAGCAGCAGCAGACGAGGAGAGGCCCCUGCUUCAUCUCCUACCGUAUAAUCAGGAUGUAGGUUCAGAAUACACCGGCGAUGGAUCUGUUGACAUCAACAAUCAGCCUGCUCUGAAGUGCAACACAGGCAAUUGGGGGGCGUGCUACAUGAUUUUAGGUGUCGAGUUCUGCGAAUGCAUCGCCUUCUACGCAAUCGCGACCAACUUGGUAACCUACCUCGCCACCGUGCUCCACGAAAGCAAGGUCGCUGCUGCGCGGGAUGUCUCUGCCUGGGUCGGCGCAUGCUUCCUCACACCACUUAUUGGGGCCUUCUUGGCGGACUCAUAUCUGGGAAGAUACUGGACGAUAGUUGUUUCCCUUCCAGUCCACACCAUCGGAAUGCUCGUGCUCACAGUUGCAGCAUCAGUCCCGACAUCCUACUACCAUGGUGAUGUUCAUCGUACUGUGGUGGUGUACCUGGGACUCUAUCUUGCCGCACUUGGGACCGGUGGCAUUAAACCCUGUGCGUCAGCCUUCGGUGCCGACCAAUUCGACAGUGGAGACCUGACGGAGCUGGAGAAGAAGGGCUCCUUCUUCAACUGGUACUACUUCCUGCUCAAUCUCGGCUCCCUUCUGUCAAGCACACUGCUUGUUUGGCUGCAGGACAAUGGUGGGUGGGGGCUCAGUUUUGCAAUCCCAACGGUGCUCAUGACCUUGGGCCUAGCAGUAUUUGUUGGUGGCUCCAGAGUGUACAGGUUCAGGAAACUGAGAGCAAGCCCAUUCACGAGUAUCUGUCAGGUGCUCGUUGCGGCCGUCAGGAAGUGGCAUGUGCAACUGCCAGAUGAUAUCUCACUCUUGUACGAGCUGGCCAGUUCGUCAUCAUCAGCUGAAUCAAGUCACAAAAUUCAGCAUACAAGUCAAUUCAGGUUUCUAGACAAGGCUGCCACUGUGCCGCCCCCGUUAGACCAGACAUGCAUGGUGUUGCCGUUGUGUUCAUGGAGUCUCUGCACAGUGACCCAAGUUGAGGAGUUGAAGAUACUGCUACGGAUGUUCCACGUCUGGGCGUCGUUCGUGAUCUUCUAUGCAGUCGCUGGGCAGACCGCAUCGACGUUUAUCGAGCAGGGGAUGGUCAUGGACAACCACGUCGGCCAGUUCGCAAUCCCACCUGCCUCCCUCUCUAUUGUCAGCGUGUUCAGCGUCCUUAUCGGGGUUUUCAUCUACGAAUCCGUGCUAGUGCCACUCGCGCGGCGUUAUACUGGCAAGGCGAAGGGCUUCUCACAGACGCAGCGCCUUGGAAUUGGCUUUGCGCUGUCCAUGCUGACCAUGAUCUACUCAGCAAUGCUCGAGAUGAAGAGAUUGGCGACCGCACAAGCUAGCGGCCUGAGAGACCAGAAUGUGCCCGUGCCAGUGAGCAUUCUGUGGCAAGUGCCUGCAUAUGUAAUGCAUGGUGCAGCCGGGGUUUUCGCAGGAAUCGGCAUGAUGGAGUUCUUCUACGAUGAGGCCCCUUACACCAUGAAGAGCCUUUGUGCAGCAUUCGCACAGCUUGCAGUUGCGUCCGCAGCUUACUUCAACGCGCUCGUAUUUAGUGUUGUUGCGGUGGCCACGGCGCACGAUGAUGCUCCUGGAUGGAUCCCGGAUAAUCUGAAUGAAGGGCAUUUGGACUAUUUCUUCUGGAUGAUGGCUGCUCUUAGCUUACUGAAUCUGGCGCAAUUUGUGCACUACUCCAUGAGGUAUAGAGAGAAGACAACUUCUUGA
Molecule: ribosomal RNA, 1740 nt
Filed under: Triticum aestivum (bread wheat)
Lineage: Eukaryota; Viridiplantae; Streptophyta; Magnoliopsida; Poales; Poaceae
Description: partial small subunit ribosomal RNA
Source: RNAcentral